AUUGAACGCUGGCGGCAUGCCUUACACAUGCAAGUCGAACGGCAGCGGGCCUUCGGGUGCCGGCGAGUGGCGAACGGGUGAGUAAUGCAUCGGAACGUGCCAUUGAGUGGGGGAUAACGUAGCGAAAGUUGCGCUAAUACCGCAUAUUCUGUGAGCAGGAAAGCAGGGGACCGCAAGGCCUUGCGCUCUUUGAGCGGCCGAUGUCAGAUUAGCUAGUUGGUGAGGUAAAGGCUUACCAAGGCGACGAUCUGUAGCGGGUCUGAGAGGAUGAUCCACCACACUGGAACUGAGACACGGUCCGGACUCCUACGGGAGGCAGCAGUGGGGAAUUUUGGACAAGUGGGGC
Molecule: ribosomal RNA, 346 nt
Filed under: uncultured bacterium
Lineage: Bacteria
Description: bacterial SSU rRNA
Rfam family: Bacterial small subunit ribosomal RNA
Source: RNAcentral